Molecule: long non-coding RNA, 1396 nt
Organism: Neodiprion virginianus
Lineage: Eukaryota; Metazoa; Arthropoda; Insecta; Hymenoptera; Diprionidae
Exons: 4
Source: RefSeq, a predicted model, not a curated record
UGUGAGUCUGUCGAAAAGCCAAGAAUUUCGUCGAAACGACGAGAAUUCUCGUGCGAAUAAACGACCGCAGCGUUCGUUAGAAUUUUGUGGUUUUGCGGUGGAUUCGAGUGACGCGAAUCAUUGUCGUUAGAAAAAAAAUCUUACACUUUUCACUUUAUGUUCUUAUCUUGUGGUUCGUCCGAGAUUUUAUACGCUUGAAAAACAAACGAACGGUUCCGAUUCGGCGACGGUGGUAUCGAGGCAUUUCGAUGGGUGAGUUCUUGUUGCUGAUAGACGAUUUAUCAAGUAAUUUACAUUCGCUUUAAACGACUCCCGAAACACGGUGGGAGAUUUUCAACCAUUUUUCGAUCGGUUUAACCCUUUGAGUGACACGUUAUUGCCCUGAGUAAAAUUUUAUGAAAAUGUAGUACGUCAUGGUUCCGUGCAGGUGUCGCUGAUGGCGUGUCUGAAAACAGAUUGAAAAAAUUGAAGACCGCGGAUCCAUUUGGUCGAUGCAAGUUUCGAUCUCAUCGAAUAUGGUCAAUAAACUUUACGCAGGGGUUCUCGGGGUCGCUGAUUAGAUUCAUCGUAUUAAAUUUGCGAGAUCUGACUUCAGAUUCGUAAUCACCGACCCCGAAAACACCUGUUCAAAGUUUUUUCUCCGCAUUCGAUCGAAUUGGAAACUUCCGGCCGCCAUCUUGUUUGUUUAACACUCGGAUGUAUUCUCGCAAAUCGUCCGGGCAAAGAAAGUUCGCGAGUGAUGUUCCUCGCGUUGUUAUCGUUGUUAUAUUUGCGGUGCAGUGAUCACGACCGGUUGUUUCGAAGUAUAUACGCUACGCGGCUUUAUUAGCGUUUGAAUUACAACCGGACGAGUGUUUGAUUCACCGAGCAAGCAGAAUCCGCCGACGGACGUCUCGGCGAUUCCACAAGGCAAGAAAUGACAAAUUUUUCAUCCCCGAUGUUGACCUGAAAACAAAGGAACGAUCGAGGCUAGGUCCGGGAAAAGGAUCCAAGGAGGAUGACGGGUCGAAUUCGGGAUCACAGAGAGAAGCUCGGAGUGAUCCUUGCCGGUCUUGCCGAGGAAUUCCAUCCAUGGGGUGGUAAUUCAUCCCCGAACAAUCGUACAGCCGGGCUACUCAACGGGCGAGGAGUGAAGAGUGAAGAAAACGCGAAUGGGGUGGACGAUUUUUGGGGUUGAGACGAGGUCAGCUGGUACAGCACGAGCAUCGGUAUCAGCAGGAUCAGCAUCAGCAUCAGCAUCAGCAUUAGCAGCGGUGGUUCUUAAGGUUCUUAAAUUGGCGGCCGACACGAGAUCGUAAAGAUCUUUCUACCAACCCGGUGCAGCAGCAGAAACAGCAACAGACGUCUUCGUUUUACACAAUACGAUGCUUCAAAUUGUCAGCACGAAACGAGAUCG